GAUGAACGCUGGCGGCGUGCCUAACACAUGCAAGUCGAACGGAGUCCAGCCUUUAAGACCUUCGGGUCAAAGAGGGGAAGACUGAGUGGCCGACGGGUGAGUAACACGUGGGCAACCUGGCUCAUAGAGGGGGAUAACAGAGAGAAAUUUCUGCUAAUACCGCAUAAGCACACACUGCCGCAUGGCAGAGGGUGAAAAGAGAAUCGCUAUGAGAUGGACCCGCGUCUGAUUAGCCAGUUGGCAGGGUAAGAGCCUACCAAAGCGACGAUCAGUAGCCGAUCUGAGAGGGUAGACGGCCACAUUGGGACUGAGACACGGCCCCAACACCUACGAGAGGCAGCAGAGGGGGAUAUUGCACAAUGGGGGGAACCCUGAUGAAGCGACGCCGCGUGAGUGAAGAAGUAUUUCGGUAUGUAAAGCUCUAUCAGCAGGGAAGAUAAUGACAGUACCUGAAUAAGAAGCCCCGGCUAACUACGUG
This 478-nucleotide ribosomal RNA is filed under the name uncultured bacterium. RNAcentral describes it as "partial 16S ribosomal RNA". It matches the Rfam family "Bacterial small subunit ribosomal RNA", at positions 28 to 507 of the family's 1533-position model. The record is from RNAcentral.